Molecule: long non-coding RNA, 949 nt
Organism: Megalobrama amblycephala (Wuchang bream)
Lineage: Eukaryota; Metazoa; Chordata; Actinopteri; Cypriniformes; Xenocyprididae
Exons: 4
Source: RefSeq, a predicted model, not a curated record
GCUGUUACCUGGGAUGCGUCACGUCCGUUUUCCCCCUUUGUUUUGGCUGUGUUGACGGUGGCUGUGGAGUGCAGUUUUAUGGUCCGGUGCUGCUUUCCUUUUUGUGCUGCUUAGUGGGUUUGAUGACUGUUUGCCUCUCAGUAUAUAUGACUUCUUGUACCCCAUGAUGGUAGCGGUGGGUAUGACUGUGACAAGCCCGUGCCUAUGAAGCAUUUUGUUCGGCGUGAUAUCCUGAUGGAUUCUCCCUCUCGUUCUAUGCUGUGAUUUGUUUGCUGCCGUGAUUGUUUGCUGCCGUGAGCUCUUGCUGCUGUCUUCGCGCUGUUAAAAGAGCGGCUGUCCAUACAGCCGCGCCGACGAAGUCAUCAACGUUUAUUAAAGGGGACUGCUGGUUUGAUUCUAUUACGUGCCUUUCUAGUGCCCUGCUUCAUGUUUUGGUUUAUUUCAUUAUUAGUUACCAUGGUUAAAUCAUUUAACCUUUUUCUUUUUCUUUUUCUUUAAGUUUGUGGAUAUUUGUUUGAUUGUAUUGCUUUGAUCUUUUUUUUUUGUGAAACUAUAAUCUGUCGACAUGUGCAUGUUUAACCUAUGAAUGCAAUUCAAAUCGUGUGGUGAUUUACUGUAUAGAAGUUGGUGUUUGUAACAAUUUCAGGUGAUUAACUAUCUGAUUUUUUGGUUACAUUGUUGCUUCUCCUCACUUUUGUUUGUUGAUACCACUUAUGUGAGGAGUUGCUGCAUUGAUGUUCAUAUUGCCCUUUCUGUCCAGUUUAUUUUCAAAGUUAUUUAUUUUCUUUUUGAUUUAUUGCAGGAGGCGGGGUCCCACGGGUGGUUUGAUCUCCCUCCUUGUGGUGGUGGUUCUCCUUCAUCGUGUGCGGUGUACACCUUGAGUGUUUGAUAGUGUGAUUAGAGUGCACGGGUGUGUGUGCGUGUGGAAGUGUGCUCUUGUGAAACCAAA